Nematostella vectensis (starlet sea anemone) is the source of this 486-nucleotide long non-coding RNA. RefSeq lists it as uncharacterized. NCBI's taxonomy places the organism in Eukaryota, Metazoa, Cnidaria, Anthozoa, Actiniaria, Edwardsiidae. The record is from RefSeq and is a predicted model, not a curated record. The transcript has 2 exons.
CAGUUGCAAUAUAAUCUGGAUACACUGUCUGAAAACGAGCCAAUAACAAACCGUCACCCGUCACCGUCAUUGGUCACAUCAUGUCAAAUCCCAAAGAAACCAAUCAAAACCGCGGGUUUGAUGUUGCUCUCCUGUCACAUUUUCGAGUUUUGAGUUGCUGUGUCGCGUGGUGAACGACAGUAAAAUUGGCGGGGAAAACAUGACAAGUAUUCAGACCUUGAUGACCGUGAAAACAACUAGUGAAAACUACUAAACAGCUAAGGAACACAAGGAAAUCUUGUUAAGAGGUUUAAUACUUGGAAACAAUGUUAAUGGUGACUACAGACUAGAAAGAGAAAACGGAGUAAGCUUACACUUACGGCAGCUGUUCAAAGGGAUGAGGUUCAGAAGAAGGAGUUUGUCAAAAUUGCAGGGCAAGCAUAACCCAAAAAAACUGAAGACAAAAGCUUUUUGAUUUUUGGUAAAGAAGCGAUGAAUACCAACAAA